Molecule: long non-coding RNA, 467 nt
Organism: Panonychus citri (citrus red mite)
Lineage: Eukaryota; Metazoa; Arthropoda; Arachnida; Trombidiformes; Tetranychidae
Exons: 3
Source: RefSeq, a predicted model, not a curated record
AAUGAUGAUGGAAAAUUAAAUUCUGUCCAUUAAGUGAAUUAAAAUAAUAUUAUUCAUACAAUUAAAAGUCACAAGUAAAUUAAAUUAAUAUUAUUAUUUUUAAAUUGUUACUCGAAAAUAGUUAAUUAAUGUUUUAUAUUUUCUUUUUCUUCUCCUUUUAAAAGCUCUACAGCUAAACAACAAACCACAUAAUCUCAAUGAGGAUGAUGAUUAAAGUUAACUAACUAAUUUUUGGGCAAUUAAAAUCAUGUUACAGAAUCAUCAUCAUGCAAUUUAAUCAUGUAUCAUGUCUUGAAAUUGAAUAUUUGGCAAAAAGAAAUUCGAAAAAAAAAGUUUUUUUUUCUCUUCUUCGUUUCUGAGAAAAAUAAUACCUGAGGCUACGAUCAUUGAAAAAGGAUGAUAAUCAAUAUUUUCUCACAAUUUGUUGAUUCUGGUUGAUUAACUGGUGAAUUAAUAAAACAAAUUCA